CGGCUAGAUUGGCUCCUGCUUACCCCGCGAAACCCUCACUUCCCCCCCAUUGCUCGCCUCUCUCUUCCGUGCGCGGCAGCGGCGCAUCUAGCAAAUACUAGCAAAGAGGCAGGCCGGAGGAAAGUUGAAGGCCACCGUCAGUGCAUCUAGCAGCAGCAGCACAACUACAAUAUGAGGACAUGGAAGAGGAAGCUACAGAAAUAGUGAAACUGAAGGAUUUGAGUGGUGCACUAUGGGAUGAGGACAAGUCUAUGAUUGUUCUUGAUCAUGAGCAUUACACAAAUCAUGUUAAGGCUCAUCCAGAGGACGAACAAUACCUUAACAAGACUAUUAUUCAUUAUAAGGAGAUGAUGUAUAUAGCUGGAGGGAGCAUGGCUAUAGGGCAAUAUGCAAAAGACUCAAGUGACCCUCUUUCUACAGAAGUGGUUAAUCUUGAAGAAGAGACUGUCGGCGACCUGGGAACGGGGGUCCCCAGACUUGCCUGCCUGCGGCCCACGGCGUGGCUGCACCAGCGGCCCUGUACGACCCAUCUUCACCAGCAAACACACAAGACGCUCGCGAGGGGCCAAGUCUCGCGAGGCGGACGACACAAGGCCUUCUCGGGACGGCCCCACCAGGCUGGCUCGCGAGGGGCGGAGAGAUCAAGGCAAGGGACACCUCGCGAGGUUCUU
This is a long non-coding RNA of Triticum aestivum (bread wheat), 671 nucleotides long. RefSeq lists it as uncharacterized. The record is from RefSeq and is a predicted model, not a curated record. NCBI's taxonomy places the organism in Eukaryota, Viridiplantae, Streptophyta, Magnoliopsida, Poales, Poaceae. The transcript is spliced from 4 exons.